Molecule: long non-coding RNA, 606 nt
Filed under: Macaca mulatta (Rhesus monkey)
Lineage: Eukaryota; Metazoa; Chordata; Mammalia; Primates; Cercopithecidae
Description: lncRNA (ENSMMUG00000062075.1)
Source: RNAcentral
CAUACAAGCACCUGCCACCACACCUGGCUAAUUUUUUGUAUUUUUAGUAGAGAUAGGGUUUCAUCGUGUUAGCCAGGAUGGUAUCGAUCUCCUGACUUCGUGAUCCGCCUGCCUCUGCCUCCCGAAGUGCUGGGAUUACAGGUGUGAGCCACUGUGCCCGACUGUUCUUUAAAAAUGAGGAAGAAACCGUUCCGGAAGCAUCAUCGUCUACAACAAUAAGCAUCGUCUAAAACAAAAUUGGCUGUAAAGUAGUACAGUCAGGAGAUCAAGACCAUCCUGGUUACCACAGUGAAACCCCGUCUCUACUGAAAAUACAAAAAAUUUACCGGGUGUGGUGGCAUGCGCCUGUAAUUCCAGUUGCUCAGGAGGCUGAGGCAGGAGAAUCACUUGAACCUGGGAGGCAGAAGUUGUAGUGAGCCAAGAUCACGCCAUUGCACUCCAGCCUGGGUGGCAGAGUGAGACAUCAUCUCAAAAACAAAAAACAAUAAAGUAGUACAGUCCAGAUGAGGAGUUGACAAACCAUACCUUGCAGGCCAAAUACUGCCCAUCACGUGUUUUGGGAUGGUCCAUGACUGUGAGGUAAGAACAGUUUUUACACUUUUUCUU